Molecule: long non-coding RNA, 686 nt
Organism: Notolabrus celidotus (New Zealand spotty)
Lineage: Eukaryota; Metazoa; Chordata; Actinopteri; Labriformes; Labridae
Exons: 2
Source: RefSeq, a predicted model, not a curated record
CGACCUGUCCAGGGUGUACCCUGCCUUCCGCCCGAAGCCAGCUGGGAUAGGCUCCAGCCCCCCGUGACCCCAAACGGUAUAAGCGGUCAAGAAUAUGGAUGGAUCUCCCUUCCCUUCAUUUGAUGGAGCUCCUCUGCAGAGGAUUCAAGACACCCCAGCUGUAUCUCACCUGGCCAGCGCCUGGACCUUGGCUGUGUGUCUCUCCUCCAGCUCUGCCAGCUUCUUCUUCAGCUGAUCCGUUUCCUGCCUGAGGCCUGCAGAGUGCUCCAUCUCUCCAUCCAGCAGGCUGCGGAGGGACCUGUCAAGCACAUCAAGUGUGUCAUGUUUUUAUACACAAAAUACACGUCUUUCAGUGUCAUGAUCCUGUACAUUCUGACGUACUGAGUGUCAACACUCCAAUUUAUGUUGUUCUCAUGAGAAGUCAAUCAGAGGAACAUUAAUAUGCUCCUUUAUUUGCAUUUAUAAAUGACUGAAUACAGCGCUCAGCUCUGAGAUAAAAACACUUCAUCAAAACACAUCUGUGCCAGUGAUCGCUUUUAUUUUCACGCCUCCAACAAAUCACAGUUUAUCUUUUAAAUCUUAACGCAGCUUGGCUGAAGAUUACCAUUUAUUUAUGAUUAAUCACAGCAGUGUGUAAACAUAACCCUGUGUUUUUCAGUCAUUAAAUUGAAUUUUAUUGAACCGUG